Molecule: RNA transcript, 4222 nt
Organism: Bicyclus anynana (squinting bush brown)
Lineage: Eukaryota; Metazoa; Arthropoda; Insecta; Lepidoptera; Nymphalidae
Gene name: minor histocompatibility antigen H13
Exons: 6
Source: RefSeq, a predicted model, not a curated record
UCGUCAAAAGUCAAACUCAAAGAACUCCGUCAGGGAGAAUAGGUCUAGCACUAAAAACUUAAAAGAAUUUUAAUUAAAAUAUUGAAACAAUAAUACAAUGGCAGAAUCUGUUACAGAACUUCCUAUAACUAUCGAGGAGAGUAUUAAAGAAACUGUACAAAAUGUUACAGGCAAGCCACCCUCGAGUAUCGAGGGGGUCGCAAUCGCGUACUUAAGUUUAGUGGUAAUGGCUAUUUUGCCUAUAUUUUUUGGGUCCUUCCGUUCUGUAAAAUACUUAAAAGAGCAAAAGGAAUCAGGUGAAAAGCAUGAGACAAUGACAAAUAAAGAUGCACUGAUGUUUCCCCUGUUUGCGUCAUGUGCUCUGUUUGCCUUCUACAUCUUCUUCCAGUUCUUCUCCAAGGAGUACAUCAAUCUACUUCUCACUGGUUACUUCUUCUUCCUUGGUGUGUUGGCAUUGAGCCAUCUACUUAGCCCCAUCAUAGCUCUGAUAGUGCCGGCGUCCGUGCCCAACCUGCCGUACCACAUCCUGUUCACGCGCGGCGAGCGGGACGCGCGCUCCGACAUCGUCAACUACAAGUUCACCUCCUAUGACGUCAUCUGCCUCGUCAUAUCGCUCAUAUUCGGCGCCUGGUACCUGCUCAAGAAGCAUUGGAUAGCGAACAACCUGUUUGGCAUAGCGUUUGCCAUCAAUGGCGUGGAACUGCUGCACCUCAACAACGUGGUGACGGGCUGCAUCCUGCUGUGCGGUCUCUUCCUCUACGACAUCUUCUGGGUGUUCGGCACCAACGUCAUGGUCACCGUCGCCAAGUCCUUCGAGGUGCCCAUUAAAUUGGUGUUCCCCCAGGACCUGCUCAUCAACGGUCUCAACGCCAGCAACUUCGCGAUGCUCGGCUUGGGCGACAUCGUCGUGCCUGGCUUGUUCAUCGCGCUGCUGCUUCGCUUCGACAAGAGUCUCAAACGCGGCUCGGAGUUCUACUUCCGCGCCACCUUCGCGGCGUACAUCCUGGGGCUGCUGGCCACCAUCCUGGUGAUGCACGUGUUCAAGCACGCGCAGCCCGCGCUGCUGUACCUCGUGCCCGCCUGCCUCGCCACGCCGCUCACGCUCGCGCUGCUCAAGGGCGACAUCAACGCGCUGUUCAAGUGAGUGCACACUCUUGACGACUUCUGGACUCCUAGUACAUAUUGUCUCGCAGUUCCACUUCCGCGCCACCUUCGCGGCGUACAUCCUGGGGCUGCUGGCCACCAUCCUGGUGAUGCACGUGUUCAAGCACGCGCAGCCCGCGCUGCUGUACCUCGUGCCCGCCUGCCUCGCCACGCCGCUCACGCUCGCGCUGCUCAAGGGCGACAUCAACGCGCUGUUCAACUAUGAAGAUCAGCCAGCAAUAUUGGAAUCGCCCACUGAAGCGAGCAAAACGAAGAAGUCGGAGUAAAGCUCGCACUACACUCAUCUCAAGCACAAAUCAACACGACGUUGUGAAUUAGGUACAUUAAGCUUAGCGCACACUACACCGGGCCGCACGUAAAUGCGUCUUAGCUGAUUGCAUUAAAAUUUUUACAAUUUUUUUUUUAUACUAUGGGAGUUUCAUGGAUCUCUUACGUCUAACGCUAUCUAGUUUGAGUUGCUGCUCAUCUCUCUCUUUACUCUAAAUCCUAUGAAAAUACCAGCAAGUCAAGUCAACAGUCAAUGUUAAGUGGCUACAGACAAACACUUCUGCAUGUUAAUAUAAUAUGUAUAAUAUUGAUAUAAUUGUUUGUUUACUAUCUUUGUUUGUUGUACUAUCGUCUACUAUUGCUUGUCCUCCUUAUCGGCUCAGUCGUUGACUAUUGUUUCCCUGAAAAAUUAAUCAUACCUUAUUACAGACGUAUGUCUGUUUGCGGUGCGCUCGGCUCUAGUGUGCGUGAGCCUUUACAAAUAUUUUUCUAUCUUACCAAUGGCGAGGGACCAUUACCACUGGGAAAAUAAUUCAUGUUAGAUCUCUCUAUGUAGGCCAAGAGCUGAUGAACGAUUUGUUCAAAGUCUUUAAUACAAAUACAUUUUAGGUAAAUCUCUGAAUACUAUUAACUAGAUAGGUAGGGUAAACAAUAAAAUAAUAAUGAAAAGUUAGUUAAAUUAAUUCCAUUCAAGUUUUAAUCUUAUGUGUUUCAACUUUAUUUAUUCAUACAUUAAUAUUAAUUAUGUGAAUCCAAAACAGUAGUUAGAUAAACAACUUAACGUGAAUUGUAUAAAAAUAAACACUCUUAUUAAUAAUAAUAAUAAUGGCUAAUUUUGACUUCAUUACAUUUAAGUUGUAUAAUGUAUGGGAGAAAUAUUUUCUUCAAUAAAUUGAAGGACUUUGAACAAAUCCUUCUUGUUCUGCUUCAAUAGAGAUAAUAUGAUUAGUAUAGACACUUCCAUUUAGAAUCUUCCAUUGUUUUACGUAUUCGGACUUGCAUAACUGUUUAUUUGUGAUAUAAAGUUCAUAAUAUUAAAGAUUAUUGUGUAAAAUUGUGUCUUGCUAGGGAUUGAGAUUUUGUAUAACUAUUCCUGGGUCCAUAUAGAAUAUAUUUGGUACCUUGAUGGGCCAAAUCUUCAAAAUAAAUUAAUUUUCAAUGAUUUUAAUUAUCAUGCUGACUAUGGAUCCCUUAUAAGAGUGAGUUACUAUUACUAUUUUAAAUCCUACAUAAGUAUUUUCUUUAUUUAUUAUGUCUAUAAAUAUAUAAAUAAAAUAUUGUAUAAUAUAUUUUUGUUUGAAUGUGAACAUUAGAAAAUUAAGUUUAUUUUUUACCUAAAAAUUAUUUUUGUGUCGAUAUUUAAUUAUUUUUGUUACCAAUCAAUAUUGUCUUUGUUAAUAGAACGUCUUUACUUUGACCUACAAUUUAAGUUACAUUUAGUUUUUUAUUAUGCACCUUAACAGCAAUGAAUAAAUACAUGAAAAUUUACUUUAAAUUUUAUUAUCGAGUUUUAGGUUGCAAAAUAUUUUACUGAAACUGUGGACAUUGUGGAUAUUUUGUGUAUGUAAUUUUUUUUUUUUCAUUUAACUUAAUGUGGAUGGAUAACUUAAUAUAUAAUUGUUUUUGUAAUACAUUCCGAUAUUACUAAUCGAUUAUUCAUAUUACGAAUUAAUUAAUUUUAUAAUAAAUCCCGUUAUUGUUUACGUUAACUCUAAAAGGUAGCAGUCAGAAAGUUGCUAGUUUACAUACAAUAUUAAUAAAUGGUCACAAUAAUACUUGUUGUAUACAUGUACAAAUAUAGUCGUCAACUCUUAGACUAAGUCGUGAAAAGUAAUAGUAAUUUUAUUACCAAUAGGUACACAUUUGGAAAGCGAAAGGAAUCAGACAGUGACGGAAAUGAUAAUGAUGACCAAGUUCUUAUGACAGCAAAAAACAAACAUUAUAUUAUAGAGAUUAAUUUCCAUGAUUUUGUCAGCACUAUUUGUAGUGAUUAUGGAAUAUAUAUUUUCGGAAUAUAACUAGCUGACGCUGGUUCCCGUCCCCGUAGGAAUACGGUGAUAAUAUAUAGCCUAUAGCCUUCCUCGAUAAAUGGGCUAUCUAACACAGAAUUUUUCAAAUCGGAUCAGUAGUUCCUGAUAUUAACGCGUUCAAUCAAACAAACAAACUCUUCAGCUUUAUAAUAUUAGUAUAGAAUUUCGGAAUAUAUUGUUUGAUUAAAUUUAACUUGCACGUAAUCUGAAGUUCUGCGCAGUAACACAUUUUCUGUUAUUAGCGACGGACGGCAAGAGGUGUCAAUCAUGGAGUCAAAACUUUUGUUUAUAAUUGUACCUGCGCAGACAACUGGCUGGAGGCUUCGGCCGUGGCUAGUUACCACCCUACCGACAGACGUACCGCCAAGCGAUUUAGCGUUCCGGUACGAUGUCGUGUAGAAACCGAAAGGAGUGUGGAUUUCAUCCUACUCCUAACAAGUUAGCCCGCUUCCAUCUUAGAUUGCAUCAUCACUUACCAUCAGGUGAGAUUGUAGUCAAGGGCUAACUUGUAGAGAAUAAAAAAAACUAUUAUUUUAGUUUAACUUUACUACCUAAGCAUUUAUUUUAUAAUUUUUGCGAGAAAUUAACAAUAUUUCAUCAUAUUUCAUUGAGGCUGAUGUUGCCAGACGGAAAAAUUAAUAUGUAUGGGAAAAACAAUUAUGUAAACUUAAAUCGAAUUUAAAAUACGUCCUCUAUAUGGAUGUUGUACAUUGUACAGGCAGAAAUGGUAUAAUUUAUUUUGAAUAAAUAUGUCGAAAUGA